GACGAACGCUGGCGGCGUGCCUAAUACAUGCAAGUCGAACGCUUCUUUUCCCACCGGAGCUUGCUCCACCGGGAAAAGAGGAGCGGCGAACGGGUGAGUAACACGUGGGUAACCUGCCCAUCAGAAGGGGAUAACACUUGGAAACAGGUGCUAAUACCGUAUAACAAUCGAAACCGCAUGGUUUCGUUUUGAAAGGCGCUUUACGGUGCCGCUGAUGGAUGGACCCGCGGUGCAUUAGCUAGUUGGUGAGGUAACGGCUCACCAAGGCCACGAUGCAUAGCCGACCUGGGAGGGUGAUCGGCCACAUUGGGACUGAGACACGGCCCAAACUCCUACGGGAGGCAGCAGUAGGGAAUCUUCGGCAAUGGACGAAAGUCUGACCGAGCAACGCCGCGUGAGUGAAGAAGGUUUUCGGAUCGUAAAACUCUGUUGUUAGAGAAGAACAAGGGUGAGAGUAACUGUUCACCCCUUGACGGUAUCUAACCAGAAAGCCACGGCUAACUAUGUGCCAGCAGCCGCAGUAA
This 524-nucleotide ribosomal RNA is filed under the name uncultured bacterium. Its description in RNAcentral is "partial 16S ribosomal RNA". It matches the Rfam family "Bacterial small subunit ribosomal RNA", at positions 28 to 523 of the family's 1533-position model. The record is from RNAcentral.